GCCUGGCUAGCUCAGUCGGUAGAGCAUGAGACUUAAUCUCAGAGUUGUGGGUUCAAGCCCCAUGUUGGGCU
This 71-nucleotide transfer RNA is filed under the name Bos taurus (domestic cattle). RNAcentral describes it as "tRNA-Sup (TTA) (tRNA-Sup-TTA-1-1)". It matches the Rfam family "tRNA". Rfam says of the family: Transfer RNA (tRNA) molecules are approximately 80 nucleotides in length. RNAcentral also lists the same sequence under 4 other names. The record is from Rfam by way of RNAcentral. Lineage: Eukaryota; Metazoa; Chordata; Mammalia; Artiodactyla; Bovidae.